AUGCUUGCUUCAGUAGCACAUAUUCUAAAAUUGGAAUGAUACAAAGAAGAUUAGCAUGGCCCCUGUGCAAGGAUGACACGCAAAUUCAUGAAGCAAUCCAUAUUUAA
This 107-nucleotide small nuclear RNA is filed under the name Mus spretus (western wild mouse). The record is from RNAcentral. Lineage: Eukaryota; Metazoa; Chordata; Mammalia; Rodentia; Muridae.